Molecule: ribosomal RNA, 565 nt
Filed under: uncultured Pseudomonadota bacterium
Lineage: Bacteria; Pseudomonadati; Pseudomonadota
Description: bacterial SSU rRNA
Rfam family: Bacterial small subunit ribosomal RNA
Source: RNAcentral
UGCAGUCGACGCACUCUUCGGAGUGAGUGGCAGACGGGUGAGUAACGCGUGGGAACCUACCUUUUGGUACGGAAUAACUCAGGGAAACUUGAGCUAAUACCGUAUGUGCCCGUUCCGCGAGGGAUGGGGAAAGAUUUAUCGCCAAAGGAUGGGCCCGCGUCGGAUUAGCUAGUUGGUGGGGUAAAGGCCUACCAAGGCGACGAUCCGUAGCUGGUCUGAGAGGAUGAUCAGCCACACUGGGACUGAGACACGGCCCAGACUCCUACGGGAGGCAGCAGUGGGGAAUAUUGGACAAUGGGCGAAAGCCUGAUCCAGCAAUGCCGCGUGAGUGAUGAAGGCCUUAGGGUUGUAAAGCUCUUUUACCAGGGAUGAUAAUGACAGUACCCGGAGAAUAAGCUCCGGCUAACUCCGUGCCAGCAGCCGCGGUAAUACGGAGGGAGCUAGCGUUGUUCGGAAUUACUGGGCGUAAAGAGUACGUAGGCGGUGAUUCAAGUCAGAGGUGAAAGCCUGGAGCUCAACUCCAGAACUGCCUUUGAAACUAGAUCGCUAGAAUCAUGGAGAGGUU